UUUCUCUAACAAUUUUCUCCCUUUGACUAAUCUUUCCUUAUUUUCCUGGGUUUCUCCCUAUAUAAUUGCUUAUUAAAUUACCAAUAAUCAGAUUAAGGAAGGAAGCUAGUUUAUGUAACUGCAAUUUGUGUUUUGUCCAUCGCGUGGCUGCGCAUUCAAAUAUUUGGUACAAGUGUUGCUUUGCAAGAUGGUAUUUUUUGCGUGCUAGAAUUCUGAAGGAUUUAGAUAGCUUUACAGAGAGUUGUUUUCUAUGUUUUUUUCUGUACGGUUUUUCCAUUUCUCCAAUGAUGGAUGUAGUUGACUUUUGGUUGGUCUACAUAACAAAUUUAGAUAUGAGAUAUUUAGAUAACUUUAGAUUGACUUUUUGGUUCAUUGUUUUUUCAUGGUUCUCCCUUUUUUUUUUUUU
This 406-nucleotide long non-coding RNA is filed under the name Elaeis guineensis (African oil palm). Its description in RNAcentral is "long non-coding RNA (EGUI_LNC018415)". The record is from RNAcentral. Lineage: Eukaryota; Viridiplantae; Streptophyta; Magnoliopsida; Arecales; Arecaceae.